GAGUUUGAUCAUGCCUCUUAUAGAACGCUGGCGGCAGGCCUAACACAUGCAAGUCGAGCGGAAACGAUAUCUUCGGAUAGGCGUCGAGCGGCGGACGGGUGAGUAACGCGUAGAAAUCUGCCCUUUAGUGGAGGAUAACCUGGGGAAACUCAGGCUAAUACUGCAUAAUCUCUACGGAGCAAAGCGGAGGAUCUUCGGACUUCGCGCUAUUGGAUGAGUCUACGUCUGAUUAGCUAGUUGGUGCGGUAACGGCGUACCAAGGCGACGAUCAGUAGCUGGUCUGAGAGGAUGAUCAGCCACACCGGGACUGAGACACGGCCCGGACUCCUACGGGAGGCAGCAGUGGGGAAUAUUGGACAAUGGGCGAAAGCCUGAUCCAGCCAUGCCGCGUGUGUGAAGAAGGCCUUACGGUUGCAAAGCACUUUAAGCAGGAAAGAAAAGCGCCGGGUUAAUACCCCGAGCGUAUUGACGGUACCUGCAGAAUAAGCACCGGCUAUCUCCGUGCCAGCAGCCGCGGUAAUACGGAGGGUGCAAGCGUUAAUCGUAAUUACUGGGCGUAAAGCGAGUGCAGGCGGUCGCGUGUGUCGGGUGUGAAAGCCCCGGGCUCAACCUGGGAAUUGCAUCCGAAACUGCGUGACUAGAAUAUGGCAGAGGAAGACGGAUUUCCACGUGUAGCGGUGAAAUGCGUAGAUAUGUGGAGGAACACCUAUGGCGAAGGCAGUCUUCUGGGCCAAUAUUGACGCUGAGGCUCGAAAGCGUGGGUAGCAAACAGGAUUAGAUACCCU
RNAcentral lists this ribosomal RNA (785 nucleotides) under uncultured bacterium. RNAcentral's name for it is "bacterial SSU rRNA". It matches the Rfam family "Bacterial small subunit ribosomal RNA", at positions 9 to 788 of the family's 1533-position model. The record is from RNAcentral.